AAAGCACUUUCAGUCGUGAAGGAAGGURGUGUAGUUAAUAGCUGCAUUAUUUGACGUUAGCGACARAAGAAGCACCGGCUAACUCCGUGCCCASCAGCCGCGGUAAUACGGAGGGGUGCGAGCGUUAAUCGGAAUUACUGGGGCGUAAAGCGCAUGCAGGUGGUUUUGUUAAGUCAGAUGUGAAAGCCCGGGGGCUCAACCUCGGAAUAGCAUUUUGAAACUGGCAGACUAGAGUACUGUAGAGGGGGGGUAGAAUUUUCAGGUGUAGCGGUGAAAUGCGUAGAGAUCUGAAGGAAUACCGGUGGCGAAGGCGGCCCCCUGGACAGAUACUGACACUCAGAUGCGAAAGCGUGGGGAGCAAACAGGAUUASAUACCCUGGUAAUCCACGCCGUAAACGAUGUCUACUUGGAGGUUGUGGCCUUGAGCCGGGGGUUUCGGAGCUUACCCGUUAAAUAAACCCGCCUGGGGAGUACGGUCGCAAGAUUAAAACUCCAAUGAAUUGACGGGGGCCCGCCCAAGCCGUUGGAGCAUGUGGGUUUUUAUUUCGAUGCCACGGGAAAGAAACCUUAAUCUACUCUUUGWAAUUCCYAGAAGAAACUUUCUCAGAAGAUUGGAUUUGGUGUCCUUCCGGAACUUCGAAAAACAGGCASCUGCCAUGGGCYUGUCGUCCAGCUUCGAUGUUGA
Molecule: ribosomal RNA, 685 nt
Filed under: Vibrio alginolyticus
Lineage: Bacteria; Pseudomonadati; Pseudomonadota; Gammaproteobacteria; Vibrionales; Vibrionaceae
Description: bacterial SSU rRNA
Rfam family: Bacterial small subunit ribosomal RNA
Source: RNAcentral